GAUUGAAAGAGCUUGUGGCCCCUUGAAGGGGGCGUGUCUAGGGCAGAGCUGAGAGCUGGUGGUUUUCUGAAGAGGCGCCAGGAAGUGCCCGGUGGGGUGGGGCCAAGCCCUCUGCUGAGUAUUGCUUUUUGAAUAACCCCGGUGUGUUUGGAGCUGUGGAGGUGGUCUCUGAUAGCCGGGGGCCUGGACCGGGGGAAUUUUGGCUACGUGUGUGAGAAGCAGAUGUGGAGAACAAACUUUCCUGGAAUAUUGAGCUGCCUUGGACAACAGAUGGUUUCUCCAGAAGUUAGAGAUGCUUAACUCUGAGCAGCCUUAUCAGGAUCUGAAACCCCUGCCAGAUGGAAGAAGUGAACUAUGCCACCCACAAGCAGGAAGACCUGAGACCGGCUGGAACCACAAGGGUGAUGCUGCUGCUGCCCGUGACCUCAUCACAGACCCAACAGAAGAGCGUCCUCGGGUUGAUCAGGCUCUGCUCCCUGAACACCAUAAGACUCCUCAGACCCCUCCAGGACCAGACACACAGCCUUUUAUUUAUGUUAAUAUUUUAUUGAUCUAUUUAUUUGGCUGCCUUGGUUCUGAUUUGCAGGUGCGGGAUAGUCCCUCCCUCUGGUGGGAUCUUGCUUGUAGCGCAGAGACUCACCAGCUGUGGGGCGAGGGCUCAGCUGCUCCUGGGCUGUGAGAUCUUAGAUUCCCCACCAGGGAUCGAACCCAGGUCCGCUGCAUUUCAAGGUGGACUCUAAACCACUGGACGACUGGAAGUCCCAGGACACAGUCUUGAGGGCAUUAGCCUGCUUGGUCCCCCGUGUGUGUCAAAGCAGUAAAGCUGGUUUUUCCAUUUCAUUUAAAACUCUCUCUCUCAGAUGUAAUCUGGCCCCAGGACACAGAGGCCCAAUUUUGGCAAGGAGAUCUGGAGAGAAGCCAGGAGCCAUUGGAAGAACAGGGUCCUGGGGGCAGGAGGGCUGAGGGACCUGAGUCUCACUGGGGUGGAAGGCUGCGAGAGGCCAAACGGGGCUUCCGGAGGUGGCGUCCUGCGGGCAGCAGGCUCAGCGCUGCGGCGCAGACCCGGGGCUGCGGAGGGAGACACCCGAUCUCAGCAGAUCGGCCACAGGAGCCAGGACGGCCCUGAGAGGGGUCGGGGCGCACAGGGCCCGGGCGCCAGUCAUCCAGGGACAGAACAGGGUCAGAACAGACAGGAGGAGAAGCUCUGUGCCACGGAGGCGCCCCCGGAGUGUAAGGACCGGCCCGGAGGGGAAGCGUGUGGACCAGGGUGUGGACUCCAAGAAGCUCUGUGCUUCCCAAGGCGGGGCCCAGGAGGCUGGCGGUUCCAACAGCGCUGGAUGCACCUGAGGCCUCUUUGCCUCAAGAAUGGAAACUGGGGAUGCAGUCCCGUCCGUCCCCUCCGAAUAGAGUUAUUCCUCUCCCUGAUUUGUCCCACCCACCCCUCAGGGCAGUGCCCUUCUCUUCACCCCUCGCCCCCUAAACUCGUCCCCCAUCCCCGGCUUUUCUAGAUUCUUUCGUGCUCUGCACACUCCGAGGCCCGCCCCAUCCUCCAUUCCCUCCCUCUCCCCGCUCUCCAGGUUCUAGAUUUCAGACAGGCUGGGACCUGGGCUGCAGUGCUUCCUCGUGGACACACAGCUUCUUGAGCCACAGAGAGCAAGGAAACCACAAGGGACUAACAAUCACUACACACACGAGCAGUGGGGGCAAGUGAUGCACCAGAUCAGAAAGAAAAGAUCAAAACUCCAGUCCCCCCUUCAGAGCUGGAGAACUAAACUGGGCUCCUGGACGUGAUGCCUGCACACAGCUCCACCAAGGGGCUGCACAGACCUCGCAUUCAGCCCUCCCGCCCAACGCUGGACCCAGCCCACCCUCACCCCAUUUAAUGGAGCAGAUUUCCCACAGGCGCCCUGACACCCCCUCACCCCCCAGGAGCAAACAAGGGAACUUGUCAUUUGUUUGACUCCCUUCCUGAUGCACCCAGAGCUCCA
Cervus elaphus (red deer) is the source of this 1988-nucleotide long non-coding RNA. RefSeq lists it as uncharacterized. The record is from RefSeq and is a predicted model, not a curated record. The transcript is spliced from 4 exons. NCBI's taxonomy places the organism in Eukaryota, Metazoa, Chordata, Mammalia, Artiodactyla, Cervidae.